Felis catus (domestic cat) is the source of this 3245-nucleotide long non-coding RNA. RefSeq lists it as uncharacterized. The record is from RefSeq and is a predicted model, not a curated record. NCBI's taxonomy places the organism in Eukaryota, Metazoa, Chordata, Mammalia, Carnivora, Felidae. The transcript has 7 exons.
AGUACCUCUACAUAAACUCAGAAGGUACUGGGCUGAGGGUGGGGCGUGGAUGGAGAUCUUUUUAUUUUCCGGUUGCUGGUUGCCGGAGACAAGCAUGGUCUAGCAUUGAGUGGAAGCACCGUACAACUCAUAACAUCCACUUUCACGAUGAAUACCAUUUAAGCCCAAGGGAAACCAGUGCUUUUCCUCACCUAUGGACUCAAGUCCCAGAAAGGGCGUUUUGAGUGUCCUCAUGACGUGGCAGCUGGCAACGUGAUGUGAGUGACCCAAGAGAGCCAGCUUAUUAAUGGCAAGUGAUGUCGGGCAUCUUUUCAUCAGCCAAUUUGCUAUCUGCAGAUCUUCUUUGGUUCUAAGACUUGGCCAACAUCCAACUUGAAUCAAUUAGCGAAACAGAAUGGAUCCACCUCUUUACUGCUUCAAUCAAAUGCCAGUUAGUAGCAAUUAGUAUUUACUGAAGAUGAUAUAUGACACUGGAAAUUAUAAUCAGGAAAUGGAAUAUAAGUUAUUCGCGUAUGACAGUUGAGGAAACUGAGGCACUGAGAAAUAGAGACUUUUCCAAGUUUGACUCCGAGUAAAUCCGAGAAUAAGUGCUGAAGUCAAAGCCUUCGGAUGGUUUUACACCACGGUGCUUAAGAAAUAUCAGGCAGGAAGUAUGCAGGUUCAGCUGAGCUGAGAAACCUUUCCAUUUAGAGUGUGUUUGGAUCCUGGUUGGAAUAAUUCUGCUAUCAGCAUGCUACUUCUUUCCUGGCAGAUUGACUCCGAUUCUUUAUUUGCCAAGAUAAUCUGAUAAGCCAUCCAAUUAAGUGAAAGGAACAAGGGUGAUCGUAUUUUUCUCCCUAAGUCAAUGUUGUUCCAUUACUCAUUGCCUUUCAUUUUUGUAGUCAUUGUAAACUUGUUAUCUCUAAGUGGACCUUUUACAGGUACAUAUCUUCUCAGCCACACUCCCCAUCUUGGCACAAAAAGACUGCAUAUACAAACUGAACAUGAGGCUAAUGUCAAUGUUGUAGACAACAGCCCUAUAAGGACUUAAACAGUUGGCAGGGCCCUUCUUCUUUGGGUCAUUUUCUUUAGUAUUCAUAGACUUUUUGUCAGUCCUGAAAUCCCUGCCAGAAACUGCUAAACCUAGGUCUGAGUGGUAUUGAUCCCUUAUACAUUUACUUUUUUAUUGGGCAUCAGUCAAGACCAUUGUCUUAAUUAAGAUUCAUCACCAAGAAUUCAGUAUGAUACCAUUUAACUUUUGCUUUUAGCACAUAUAAAUAAUAACUCUUCACGCAGAUAAAUACGCAUAAGAGGUCACCACUUUUCAUAGGGAAAAGAGGUCAAUAAAAGAAUGAUGCAUAUCUAAUAUAGAUUAGUUUACCUUGAAAAAUCCCUGAUGGUAUUUUUUUUUUUUUUUUUUUGCUAUUAGCAAAAUACUGGACAAUCUUGGAUACUGAACAGAAAACAGCAAAAAUGCUUUAUUCAGUAACUAUUAUUCUUUGGUUUACUGCUUUAUACAUAACAAUAUGUAUAUUGUUAUACACAUUUUAUUUACAUUGAUAUAUGUCAGUAUAUUUUACUUGUGUUGAAGCUGCUUGCGAUUUGGACUAUCAUAAACAGGAUGUUGUCAGAAUAUUGUAUAACUGGGGCCUGUGUUCUACUCAUGAUCCAUCCACAUGUGUUUUGAAAUAAAUCACAGGAAUACCAGAUUAUCAUUUUUUAAGGGAAAUAAUGAAAUAUCAGAACAAUACAUUUUCAGUUAAUUUUUUUUUUCUACAUUUGGUACACAGAGAAGUUAUCCCCACCCCCCCCCCCAGGUGACAUAUAUCCCAGAUUAUUUAUAAAUUCUCAAAUUCUAGUAUUAUGAAACUCAUGUUUUAACAAAUUGAUAGUCCAGUAAAUAUAAAGGACUGGUUUCUAAUGAGUUUUUCAUGUAGCCUUCUAAUGUCAAAAGCUUUAAUAUUGAUAUCUCCAAAUGGUUUUUUAAGAUAAAAUUAUUAGUGAUAUUUAUUAGGCUUUCCUUGGUAAAGAGGAUGUAUAACUGAAUUCUAUUAAAGCAGUAUACUAUGAUUUGAACUCUAUUUUGUAUUCUGGUCUUCAUAAAUCUAAUGUACAGCCAGCUCCCAGUCACCCCGAGAGCUAACCACCUUGUAUCAGAUGCAAAUGCUUACCUAGAUAUUAUGAUCUAAUUUUGGUGAUGCAAAACCUUGUAUAGAUAAAUGAAAAUAGCUUCUAUCUGUGCACUCCAUUUAAUUCUGCAUAUAUCAAUUUUUGUUUUCUGUUUGUUUUUGUUUUGUUUUGUUUUAAGAUCUGAAUUAAGUGGUCCUGUUUAGGGAUCAUUGUGAACUGGCUUAGUCAGAAUGGGGGAAUUUCCUUAAAGACAGGAUUCUAAAAGCAUCCUCUUUCACUUUUUUGCACUCCUUUUUCCAAAGAACCCUUCUCCAACUAAUUUUCAAAUGCUAAAAUUCUAUCACUGGUGCUUUAUUGCUUUAACCUCAGUUAAAUGUAAAUUCCCUUUGGCAGAAUAAUAAUUAAAGUGAUUAGUGUUGAUAGGCUCCUCAGAGUAGUUCUCCAGAAAGGUUUUCAGGAGGGGAAGAGAGAAAAUAUAACUCAAGGAAUAAAAUAAAUGUAGAAUGAAAACAGACUUCAUUCACAUCACUUUUUCCCUAGGGUCAGCUCUAGAAACUAAGAAGGGCUACAUUAAUACUUGGUAGUAUAUAGGAGAGCUUAUUACUACUGAAUCGUGAGCCAAAGGAUAGUUCCCUACCAUAGUGGUGUAAUCAUGCAAUGGAUUUUCUGACCUACUGGAUUGCAAACUACCUGCUUGUAAUACAGAACAGUAUAGUAACCUGAACGAACACAUAUGUUUAGAACCUCAGAAAACAUUCAUUUCAGAAGUGGAAGUGAAACAAAGGAAAAUACGUUGACACUGGGCUAAUUUUGAAAACACACACUCAGAAUCAUCAAUAAACAUUAUUCUAAAUGUUACUAACCUAAACUGCAAUAUGACAUUUCAGUUUGUUAUAUAUCUCUAAUGAGACGUUUUUAUUAAGGUUUUAAUUUUAAUUCCAGUAUACGUAACAUACAGUAUUGUAUUAAUUUCAUGUGUACAAUAUAGUGAUUCAACAGUGCUAUUAUUCAGUGCCCAUCAUGAUAAGUGUACUCUUUAAUCCCCAUCACCUAUUUCAUCCAUCCCCUCCCCUACUUGCCCUCUGGUAAGUAUCACUUUAUUCUCUAAAGUUAAGACUCUGUUUCUAGGUUUGUCU